This 445-nucleotide ribosomal RNA is filed under the name uncultured bacterium. Its description in RNAcentral is "partial 16S ribosomal RNA". It matches the Rfam family "Bacterial small subunit ribosomal RNA", at positions 354 to 796 of the family's 1533-position model. The record is from RNAcentral.
GUGAGGAAUAUUGGACAAUGGGCGCAAGCCUGAUCCAGCCAUGCCGCGUGCAGGAAGAAGCAUCUAUGGUGUGUAAACUGCUUUUGUACGGGAAGAAGCACUCCUUCGUGAAGGAGCUUGACGGUACCGUAAGAAUAAGGAUCGGCUAACUCCGUGCCAGCAGCCGCGGUAAUACGGAGGAUCCAAGCGUUAUCCGGAAUCAUUGGGUUUAAAGGGUCCGUAGGCGGGUUGGUAAGUCAGUGGUGAAAGCCCGCAGCUCAACUGUGGAACGGCCAUUGAUACUGACAGACUUGAAUUACAAGGAAGUAAAUAGAAUAUGUAGUGUAGCGGUGAAAUGCUUAGAUAUUACAUGGAAUACCAAUUGCGAAGGCAGGUUACUACUUGUGGAUUGACGCUGAUGGACGAAAGCGUGGGGAGCGAACAGGAUUAGAUACCCGUGUAGUCC